UGUAAAAUUUUUAUAGUCGAACAGACUAAAUUUAUAAACAUCUACAUUUAUAAUUAAUUUUAAUUCAACAUCGAGGUCGCAAACAAUUUUUUCAAUUUGAUCUUUCCAAAAAUAUUACGCUGUUACCCUAAGGUAAUUUAUUCUUUUAUUAUAUUAUAUAAUAUAUUUCAAUUAAAUCUCUAUAAAUAAUAUUUUCAAAAUUUUAAAGUUAAUUAAAUAUAAAAAUCCUCCCAACUAAAUAUAUAUUAUAAUUAUAAAAUUCACAAUAUAUAAAAUUCUAUAGGGUCUUAUCGUCCCUUAAAUUAAAUUAAGCAUUUUAACUUAAAAUUUAAAUUUAUUUUAUAUAAUCGAGACAGUUUAUAUUUCAUUAAUUCAUUCAUUCCAGCCUUCAAUUAAAAGACAAAUGAUUAUGCUACCUUUGUACAGUUAAAAUACUGCAGCUAUUUAAUUUUUCAUUGAGCAGAACUGACUUUAUAUUAAAAUCAAAAAGAC
Molecule: ribosomal RNA, 492 nt
Filed under: Osmia cornifrons
Lineage: Eukaryota; Metazoa; Arthropoda; Insecta; Hymenoptera; Megachilidae
Description: partial 16S ribosomal RNA
Source: RNAcentral